UAAAAUAAUGAUGGCUUCCUAGUGAGUGUUGGACCUUAAGGACCGACCUCUAUCUAGGAAGUCUCUAUACCUCUGUGCACUGUAAUAGUAUCGGGUCGAGGUAACGCAGCUUUUCGGAGCAGCGAAGUUCGGCCCACAAACGGUCUCGACCGUAUAAACAACUUUUAAUUUUGACUGACUUUUGUUUCUAACGAAUCAAAAA
Molecule: unclassified non-coding RNA, 202 nt
Filed under: uncultured Rhizophydium
Lineage: Eukaryota; Fungi; Chytridiomycota; Chytridiomycetes; Rhizophydiales; Rhizophydiaceae
Description: sequence contains ITS1
Source: RNAcentral